Molecule: ribosomal RNA, 484 nt
Filed under: uncultured bacterium
Lineage: Bacteria
Description: partial 16S ribosomal RNA
Rfam family: Bacterial small subunit ribosomal RNA
Source: RNAcentral
GACGAACGCUGGCGGCGUGCUUAACACAUGCAAGUCGAACGAUGAACCCGGAGCUUGCUCCGGCGGAUUAGUGGCGAACGGGUGAGUAACACGUGAGUAACCUGCCCCUGACUCUGGGAUAACUGCUAGAAAUGGUAGCUAAUACCGGAUACGACCCUCGGUGGCAUCACCAGGGGGUGGAAAGAAUCUCGGUCAAGGAUGGACUCGCGGCCUAUCAGCUAGUUGGUGAGGUAACGGCUCACCAAGGCGACGACGGGUAGCCGGCCUGAGAGGGUGACCGGCCACACUGGGACUGAGAUACGGCCCAGACUCCUACGGGAGGCAGCAGUGGGGAAUAUUGCACAAUGGGCGCAAGCCUGAUGCAGCGACGCCGCGUGAGGGAUGACGGCCUUCGGGUUGUAAACCUCUUUCAGCACCGACGAAGCGCAAGUGACGGUAGGUGCAGAAGAAGGACCGGCCAACUACGUGCCAGCCGCCGCGGUAA